RNAcentral lists this long non-coding RNA (496 nucleotides) under Anser brachyrhynchus (Pink-footed goose). RNAcentral's name for it is "lncRNA (ENSABRG00000008326.1)". Lineage: Eukaryota; Metazoa; Chordata; Aves; Anseriformes; Anatidae. The record is from RNAcentral.
AUUUUAAGCUCACAUGCCCCAGUGGGUGCCAAAGCCACUUCAGAGAGGCUGAAAGAUGGCUGAGUCGACAGGAUUUGACUUCCAGAGGUAGAAAGAUUUCUACGUUGACUUUAAUUAAGCUAGCCCUGGGCUAGUGGGCAUGGCAGCUGAGCUUUAAUUUCAACAUUCCUGCAGAAUGCUCUGGAAAGUCUGGGCCAGCCACGUGCAAAACUAUGUCCCAGAGUUGAGCAGUGAUGAAACCAGCUUUUCUGCGAUGGGGAAGGAGGGAAACCUCAAAGUACAACCAAAGAGCAGCAGCAGGGUAUGCUAUGUCAUGGGUGAAGCCUCAGAAGGACCCCAGUUUAAGCAUCCCAGUCUCGUUUAAGUGCAGACUUAGUCAUGGUGCCUGAGCGACUCAGAACAGAAGACAGAAUUGCUAAUGGAUUUAAACUGUUCCAGGGUUACUGGAGUUAACACAAGUAUGAGGAAAUAAUAAAGUAAUAACCUGCCCUAUACA